GGCAGACACAGACACAGACAGUGACUGUGGGUGUGACCAGCACUGCGACAGAGGGAAGGAGGCACUCUGGCUGGGGAAGCCAGGGCAGAUGGCAUCUGAUCUGCUUCAAGGAUGCUCAAAGGCUCCUGACUGUGGAGAGCUAAAGCUGCCAGGAGCUGCCUGUGCUUGCCAAGUGGUUGCAGAUGUUUCCUCCCUACUGCUCUGACUUUGCCAGGAGCAUAAAUUCAGUGAAUCUACGUGACUCUCAGUGAUGGCAUCAUUGCCUAAUAUCCACCCAGCUUCUGCUUGAAAACUUCCAGAGAACUCCCCACAUCUCCACGGCUUCCUUCUACCUUCAGGUAGCAGGAAGUUCUCCCUCACACUGUACCUUUCUUCCUACAUCACCCAACCGCUGGGGUCAGUUCUGCCGCCACAGAACUCCAAACAAUUCAAUAGACCUUAGGUACUGGGCACCCUGGCCAGGCCUCAUGCCAGACUCCAGGAUCAUGGAGGAACCAGUGUUGUCCAGCAAGGACUGGACAGGCAUAAAGUCCUGUAGCUCUGUCUGACUCCAGACUCAAUAAUAAUCCCAGCUGCCACCGAUAGCCCCUUCUGGGUGCCCAGCCCUGCUGCCUCAUCAAAUACCAGCAAUAUCUACCUCACUGAAUCCCCACAACAACCCUGCCAGAUAGUAACUCUCAUCCCCAUGUUAUAGCUGAGAAAACUGAGGCCCACAGCAAUUAGAUAUCUUCCCAAAGGUCACACAGUUGGUAUGCGUGGAGCCUGAUUAAAACCAAUGUGGCUACUAGCCUCUCACUGGG
This 800-nucleotide long non-coding RNA is filed under the name Homo sapiens (human). Its description in RNAcentral is "novel transcript". The record is from RNAcentral. Lineage: Eukaryota; Metazoa; Chordata; Mammalia; Primates; Hominidae.